This is a small nuclear RNA of 178 nucleotides. Its record names the gene U2. It matches the Rfam family "U2 spliceosomal RNA". Rfam says of the family: U2 is a small nuclear RNA (snRNA) component of the spliceosome (involved in pre-mRNA splicing). Complementary binding between U2 snRNA (in an area lying towards the 5' end but 3' to hairpin I) and the branchpoint sequence (BPS) of the intron results the bulging out of an unpaired adenosine, on the BPS, which initiates a nucleophilic attack at the intronic 5' splice site, thus starting the first of two transesterification reactions that mediate splicing. The record is from Ensembl.
UUGGCUUCUUGCCCUUUUGGCUAAGAUCAAGUGUAGUAUCUGUUCUUAUCAGUUUAGUACAUAGACAACACUACAAGCUUGGUAUCAAUAUUACCCCCAUUUUAUGAUAGAUAAAACAUGGGCUUAAACGAAAGGUUUUAAAAGUGGUUGGCUAUCACUCAGUCUACCAGUACUGGAC